UAGGGAAUCUUCGGCAAUGGGGGGAACCCUGACCGAGCAACGCCGCGUGAGUGAAGAAGGUUUUCGGAUCGUAAAGCUCUGUUGUUAAGGAAGAACGAGUGUGAGAAUGGAAAGUUCAUGCUGUGACGGUACUUAACCAGAAAGGGACGGCUAACUACGUGCCAGCAGCCGCGGUAAUACGUAGGUCCCGAGCGUUGUCCGGAUUUAUUGGGCGUAAAGCGAGCGCAGGCGGUUAGAAAAGUCUGAAGUGAAAGGCAGUGGCUCAACCAUUGUAGGCUUUGGAAACUGUUUAACUUGAGUGCAGAAGGGGAGAGUGGAAUUCCAUGUGUAGCGGUGAAACGCGUAGAUAUAUGGAGGAACACCGGUGGCGAAAGCGGCUCUCUGGUCUGUAACUGACGCUGAGGCUCGAAAGCGUGGGGAGCGAACAGG
RNAcentral lists this ribosomal RNA (429 nucleotides) under Bacteroidota bacterium. RNAcentral's name for it is "Bacteroidetes bacterium partial 16S ribosomal RNA". It matches the Rfam family "Bacterial small subunit ribosomal RNA", at positions 355 to 776 of the family's 1533-position model. The record is from RNAcentral. Lineage: Bacteria; Pseudomonadati; Bacteroidota.